UUGACCUCGGAUCAGGUAGGAAUACCCGCUGAACUUAAGCAUAUCAAUAAGCGGAGGAAAAGAAACCAACAGGGAUUGCCUUAGUAACGGCGAGUGAAGCGGCAACAGCUCAAAUUUGAAAUCUGGCCCCCAGGCCCGAGUUGUAAUUUGUAGAGGAUGCUUCUGGCGACGCGCCUUCCGAGUUCCCUGGAACGGGACGCCAAAGAGGGUGAGAGCCCCGUCCGGUCGUGCGCCUAGCCUCUGUGAAGCUCCUUCGACGAGUCGAGUAGUUUGGGAAUGCUGCUCUAAAUGGGAGGUAUACGUCUUCUAAAGCUAAAUACCGGCCAGAGACCGAUAGCGCACAAGUAGAGUGAUCGAAAGAUGAAAAGCACUUUGAAAAGAGGGUUAAAUAGUACGUGAAAUUGCUGAAAGGGAAGCGCUUAUGACCAGACUUGGGCUUGGUGAAUCAUCCGGCGUUCUCGCCGGUGCACUUUGCCGGUCCAGGCCAGCAUCAGUUCGCUCCGGGGGAUAAAGGCUUCGGGAAUGUAGCUCUUUCGGGAGUGUUAUAGACCGUUGCGUAAUACCCUGGGGUGGACUGAGGUACGCGUUCUGCAAGGAUGCUGGCGUAAUGGUCAUCAGUGACCCGUCUUGAA
This 632-nucleotide ribosomal RNA is filed under the name Geosmithia fassatiae. Its description in RNAcentral is "eukaryotic LSU rRNA". It matches the Rfam family "Eukaryotic large subunit ribosomal RNA", at positions 1 to 658 of the family's 3401-position model. Lineage: Eukaryota; Fungi; Ascomycota; Sordariomycetes; Hypocreales; Bionectriaceae. The record is from RNAcentral.